GGCCGGUGAUGUAAGUAAAUAUUUUCUACUCUUGAUGGGAAUCUAUCAAAUUUGCAUCUGAUGAUUCUUUAUCCACCAAGAUCUCUGAGGCC
This is a non-coding RNA of Capsicum annuum, 92 nucleotides long. The record is from Rfam. Lineage: Eukaryota; Viridiplantae; Streptophyta; Magnoliopsida; Solanales; Solanaceae.